UUUCCGUAGGUGAACCUGCGGAGGAUAUUAAAAAAUAAUCCAGUUUGUGAUUUAAUAAUCAUCCUACCUUUGUGAAUUUGUUUUGUAAAGAAAAUUUAUGUUGUCUAUCCCUGUGGUUUUGGAAAGUUGAAAACUUUUCGAAUCUCAGGACUAGGCUUCAUAACCUUUUUUAAAUUAAACUUUUUGUAUUAUUGUCUAAAAUUAUUUUUAAUAAUUUAAAAACAACUUUUGACAAUGGAUCUCUUGUUCUCGCAACGAUGAAGAACGCAGCAAAAUGCGAUAAGUAUGUGAAUUGCAGAAUACGUGAAUCAUCAAAUCUUCGAACGCAUAUUGCACUUUCUAGUUUAUAGAAAGUAUGUCUGUUGAGUAUCAGUAAAAUAUUCUAUAAAAACAUGUUUUUAUGGUUAUGAGUGUUUACAACGAUAAACAAGUUGUUUCACUUUAAAUUGAUUUUAAAAGCCAUUUGUUUUAUCUAAUAAAUGGAUAAAAUUUUCCGUAAAGAAGUAAACUUUCAGUUUUAAAAGAUAAACUUUUAAUUGAGCCUAAUUAAAAGGAAAUUAACUAAAUAACUUGAUCUCAAAUCAGAUAAGAGUACCCGCUGAACUUAAGCAUAUCAAUAAGCGGAGGAAAAGAAACUAACAGGAUCCUUAGUAACGGCGAGUGAAGCGGGAAGAGCUCAAAUUUGAAAUCUUCAAGUUCUACCUUGACGAUUGUAGUUAUAGAAGUGUUUCUGUUAGUGUGGAAAAGUUCUUUGAAUAGACAUCAUAGAGGUGAGAUCCGUAUUUGUCAUUCUCCAGCGUGUGAUACACUUUCAACGAGUCGGAUUGUUUGGGAAUGCAGUCCAAAAGGGUGGUAAAUUUCAUCUAAAGCUAAUAUGGCGAGAGACCGAUAGCGAACAAGUACCGUGAGGGAAGAUGAAAAGAACUUUGAAAAGAGAGUUAAACAGUACGUGAAAUUGUCAAAAGGGAGCGUUGACACCAGUGUUGUUUUUCCGAAAAUCAAUUACGAAUGUUUUUUUGAGAGUUAUGACUUCAUCGCUUGCUCUUCUUUACGAACUUUCUUAAUGCACUUUCGUUAACAAGUCAACAUCAAUUCUUUGUUGUAAAGGGUAUGAGGAAGGUGGCUUUCUUUCGGAGAAGUGUUAUAGCCUUGUACCUCUGCAUCGGAGGAUUGAGGUCUGCAGCGUAGAUCCUUCGGGUUAGAUACGUUGUGCUAAGUUAUGCUUUUCAUAGACAACUUGUUGACUAUGUUAGUCUUGUAGCUUACUCGCUACGCUAUU
RNAcentral lists this unclassified non-coding RNA (1279 nucleotides) under uncultured Neocallimastigales. RNAcentral's name for it is "partial contains internal transcribed spacer 1, 5.8S ribosomal RNA, internal transcribed spacer 2, and large subunit ribosomal RNA". The stretch from base 572 to 1279 matches the Rfam family "Eukaryotic large subunit ribosomal RNA", at positions 1 to 627 of the family's 3401-position model. Lineage: Eukaryota; Fungi; Neocallimastigomycota; Neocallimastigomycetes; Neocallimastigales. The record is from RNAcentral.